Molecule: non-coding RNA, 2174 nt
Organism: Vicugna pacos (alpaca)
Lineage: Eukaryota; Metazoa; Chordata; Mammalia; Artiodactyla; Camelidae
Source: RefSeq, a predicted model, not a curated record
GCUGUUCUUUGAUUCCAGAACAUCCUGAGGAGAGAAAGGAGGACAGGGUAUCACGGCCUAGCUCCGUCCGUGUGUUCGUCCACACGGGGAGUGGCUGGAGAGGAAAGGUCUCCCAUGGAAGUGGGGUCUGCCUCCCGUGAAAAAAUUGCCCCGAUGGUGAGAACAGGCAGCCUGACCUGCUUCUGGGGCUGCCCGUGCUGUCAAUCUCGUCCCAGGGAAGCCCCUCCAGCCCCUACCUGCCGUGCCCUAGCCCACACACACACAGCUGCGGCGACUGCGGUGGACGGAACUGGUUUUCACCCCUCCGUCAGUCACUGGCAGCACAGGGCCUCGUCCAGCUCUAAGACCAGCUGCCCCUCCCAAGAGGAGAGGAAGAAAGCCUUCCUCCUCUUUGUGAUUCAUACACGAACUGGGAAAAGGAUGGAAUGGAGCCCCCUGACCCAGGACCGUGGUGCUGCUGGCACAGACAAGCCCCUACCUGGUUGCAGGGCCCCAGCCCCGAGAGCCUGUCCCAGAUAACCUGGGUCCCACAGGCACUGCUACGCACUGAGCCAGGACCCACCACUCUCACCGUGAGCAAACACCUGGUCUCAGCCAGAAGCGUGGGCACAUAACCUCGACCCCAGCCCCCUCCAUCUGCAACAAGCCCUCCACCCUGCCCACACCCUGCCUGCCCUCCAGUUUCUGUCUGCCAUCUCUGAACCAGAAGUUCUGUUUCUCUGUGAUGGCAGAACAGACAAAGACAGGGGCCUCCAUCUGGAAGGAUUUGUCUCCGAGACAAGCCAGCCUGCCCUCACUGCGCCUCAGUGGAGACAUGCAGGCCAGCUAUGGUCUGUGUCUGCCUCCCAGACCCCAGAGGAGCUGUCCCUGAGGCUACAGGUCACCUAGCUGGCGUCACCUGUCCUUUCUAUGACACCCCCUCCCAGGACCGUCCCAGCACAGAGGAGUGCCACAGUGAACCCUGGACUCCUGGGUGAACAAUGCUUCAGCCUCCACUCACAUGUAACUCCCUCUGGGAAGCCUUCCCAGCACCCACUGCAAAGAUGCACCCAUGGCCCUGUGUUCUCCCACCCGCGGCUGAAACCAGCACAUCUCAGGUCUCACACAGAUGUGGCCUCGGCUGAGAGCUCAGGAGACUUGGCCACCCCCAGGCCUAUGUCUGGGUCCGUUGCCAGGGGUCCAAGGAGCUCAGGACAGAGGCUUGAGAGACUAAGGGCCUGACCGACUAAGCUGAAACAGGCAGUGGACUCGGGCUAGAAGGGCCAGGAGGUUAAGGAGGGGCCGGGGAAGACCUCAGAGAGACCAGAGCAAAACAGAUGAGCCCGGGGAGCUGACGGUGCACACAGGCUUGGGAGCUUGGGCCACAGGAAACCAAGGUGGCUGUGGGUCUCCACUGGAAUGACAGAGGCUGGACCACAGACAAGGAGCCCCGACCAGAGCCCAGGCCGGCCGCUGGGGGCAGGGGCACGGGGCGCUGGCCAGGAGCCUCCUACCUCCAGCUGGCGGGACACAAGGGUCAGGGCCGCGGGAUCCAGGUUGGAGGCCGCCAGCACCUCGUUGAGCUGCACCUCCUUCUUCUCCACGGCGGUGUUCAGAGCCUGCACCUUGCGCUCCAAGACGAGGUUCUUGAAGCCCACCUUCUGUUGCACCUCCAGGAUGGCCGCAGUGAACUUGCGGUACAGCUCAUCCCGCUCCUGCUGCACCUGCAGGACGGGCUGUGUGGGCGCCUCUCCAGCAAGCCCCCUCCCACCUCUCUCCCUGGGCACAAAACACCACUUUCCCCUGCCCAGCCUCAGGCAGGUGGGUCUGAUAGUCCGCACUGGCUGAGCCCCACUCUCGGUGACAGAAUUAAAGGCGUGCAGCUGUCCACACCGUGGGAGGCAGAAGGAAACAUCUCUAGGAAGUUGUCUCAGGAAGCAACAGAGACCCUGGUACCAGCUACAGAUGCCCACAGAGGGGCUGGGGCCAGCCCUGCCCUGUGUCUGGGGGACCCCCCUCCCUCUGCUGACCCAGAUCCUGGAACCCACGUCUAGAGCCCUGGAGGGGGAGGGCAUAGCUCAAGUGGUAGAGUGCACGCUUAGCAUGUAUGAGGUCCCAAGUUGAAUCCCCAGUACUUCCUAAACAAACAAACAAACAAACAAACAAAGACCUGGAGCCAACUGCCUGUCCAUCAA